This 802-nucleotide ribosomal RNA is filed under the name uncultured bacterium. RNAcentral's name for it is "bacterial SSU rRNA". It matches the Rfam family "Bacterial small subunit ribosomal RNA", at positions 94 to 874 of the family's 1533-position model. The record is from RNAcentral.
AGUGGCGCACGGGUGAGUAACACGUAGGUAAUCUACCUUUGGAUGGGGAAUAACAACCGGAAACGGUUGCUAAUACCGCAUAAUGCAGCGGCACCUAAUGGUGACAGUUGUUAAAGCGGGGGAUCGAAAGACCUCGCGUCUAAAGAGGAGCCUGCGGCGGAUUAGCUAGUUGGUAAGGUAAUGGCUUACCAAGGCUACGAUCCGUAACCGGCCUGAGAGGGCGGUCGGUCACACUGACACUGACAUACGGGUCAGACUCCUACGGGAGGCAGCAGUCGGGAAUUUUGGGCAAUGGGCGAAAGCCUGACCCAGCAACGCCGCGUGAAGGAUGAAAUCCCUCGGGAUGUAAACUUCGCAAGAACGGGAAGAAUAAGCGAGAGUAAAUACCUUUCGCGAUGACGGUACCGUUUGUAAGCUCCGGCUAACUCCGUGCCAGCAGCCGCGGUAAUACGGGGGGAGCAAGCGUUGUUCGGAUUUACUGGGCGUAAAGGGCGCGUAGGCGGCCUCCGCAAGUCAGUUGUGAAAUCUCCGAGCUUAACUCGGAAAGGUCAACUGAUACUGUGCGGCUAGAGUGCAGAAGGGGCAACUGGAAUUCUUGGUGUAGCGGUGAAAUGCGUAGAUAUCAAGAGGAACACCUGCGGCGAAGGCGGGUUGCUGGGCUGACACUGACGCUGAGGCGCGAAAGCUAGGGGAGCGAACGGGAUUAGAUACCCCGGUAGUCCUAGCCUUAAACGAUGAAUGCUUGGUGUCUGGGGCUAUAAAGUCCCCGGGUGCCGUCGCUAACGCUUUAAGCAUUCCGCCU